This 180-nucleotide ribosomal RNA is filed under the name uncultured Glomeromycotina. RNAcentral's name for it is "partial small subunit ribosomal RNA". Lineage: Eukaryota; Fungi; Glomeromycota. The record is from RNAcentral.
GGGUCAGCAGGUUGGUCGUGCCACUGGUAUGUACUGGCCUUGCUGAUUCCUCCCUCUUGAUGAGCCGUAAUGCCAUUAAUUUGGUGUUGCGGGGAAUCAGGACUGUUACUUUGAAAAAAUUAGAGUGUUUAAAACAGGCGUUUGCUUGAAUACAUUAGCAUGGAAUAACGGAAUAGGACU